Drosophila sulfurigaster albostrigata is the source of this 1231-nucleotide long non-coding RNA. RefSeq lists it as uncharacterized. NCBI's taxonomy places the organism in Eukaryota, Metazoa, Arthropoda, Insecta, Diptera, Drosophilidae. The transcript is spliced from 2 exons. The record is from RefSeq and is a predicted model, not a curated record.
AACUAUAUUUAUGCUAAUGUUUGGAAAGGUAGAGGUUUCAUACUCAAAUGUACUUUUAACUUUUUUAUGUAGCUCGUAAGCGGAUUGAUUGUAGUCAGUUAAAUUAUUUCCACAAAAGAAAGUAGAGUCUGGGGUUACGUUAUUGUGGUUUAUAUAACGAUCUUCUUUUAUGAUUUUUUUUAUAAAGAUUAUUCGAAUACUGACAAAAGUUGCACUGAGUGGGCGAUGUCAAAUUGUUGUUGAUGUUGUUUGCUUGAGAGUAUGAACAGCUGCAAUCACAUGAUCUAUAAGUACCUUUAUUUUGCUUUAGCCGAACAGUUAAGUAAAUAGGCUACAUGAUAAAGAGAGAAGAAAAAAUAUUAGCAAUAUAAGAAAAUAAAUAAUAAUUAUCACACAGACAUAUAAUGAGCUAUAUUAAACAAUUGCCUAUUGUUGUUUUAAGUAUUUGUCGGCAAAAAGUACACAUACGUAGGGCUGGAGAAUAUGUGGAGUGUAGUAAGUAUAUUAGUUGUACUGCUGUAAAAACAUUGUUCGCGAUCAGAUUUCAGUAAUAAUAAAAAUUGCUAAAUUCCGCCACCUUUUUAUUCGCCAUUAAUAUGCUAAAUAAUAUUACUAAAAUUAUAAACAACAAAAAUCUCCUUCCUGAGACUGAAUGUCUCAAAAAUGUCUUUUAACAUACAUAAUAUUAUACCCGACAAUUAAUCACAUUAAUUUUAGUUUCGCAAAAAGCAUAGAACUAUUAAGUCGCGAAAUAUCAACAAUAGGAAACGCUGUCGAAAAACAACCACAUUUUUUGAUCUCUCUCAAGAGAGUUCGGUUAAAAAGUUUUUGUACGAGGCAAAACAAGUGAGAUUCAACUCCGAUGAUUAUACGAUUGUCACCUAAGUUUCACGAGGCAGCAGGUUAGGACCAACAUUACCACUACAUACCAACAACUAGAGAACUAACAAUAUAAUUAUUUGGACAUAAACACAACUAAAACUAAAAGCAAACAACCCAUUGUAUAAUCAAUAAUAAGUGUUUCUCAUCCGUACUGCAAAACCUGUACUAUCAAACCAAUACGGUCGUAGGACCGAUAAAGAUCUGAAGAUUCAACCUGUCAGAGAUGGUUCGCAUACUAACCAUUGUGAGGGAACGCACAAGAUUGUUGAGACAAUCUCAAUUUCAUCGUACUGAUAUGUCAUUUCUGCGAUAGUAUUUUCUUUUAUUGAAUUUAGUUCAGAUUAUGUUA